CUCUUAGGCAACAUUCCUUAUUAGUGGACUCCAGUACCAAAACAUUUUACAGUACACACAGUGAGCCCCCCAACUCAUCUGCAACAUGCCUUAAAUGCUAACCCUGAUUCAUGGUUUGUGGUUUUGUCUGGCCAUAUAAACAUUUUGGACAGACAAGCUUAACUACUAAUCAUAUAACCCAUUUUGUCCAAAGGGUAGAAAUGUUUAGAAUCCAUUUCCUAGGAAACAAUCCACAGAAACUCAUAAGGUGUAGCUAGUAUACCCAUAGUCACAGAUCUGAUCAGCAAUCUAUAAAGUUUUCCCGCAGUUGCAAAUUAGUUGAC
Molecule: non-coding RNA, 323 nt
Organism: Pelobates cultripes (western spadefoot toad)
Lineage: Eukaryota; Metazoa; Chordata; Amphibia; Anura; Pelobatidae
Source: the annotation of a GenBank genome assembly